Molecule: ribosomal RNA, 506 nt
Filed under: uncultured bacterium
Lineage: Bacteria
Description: partial 16S ribosomal RNA
Rfam family: Bacterial small subunit ribosomal RNA
Source: RNAcentral
GAUGAACGCUAGCUACAGGCUUAACACAUGCAAGUCGAGGGGUAACGAGAGGGAAGCUUGCUUUCCUUGUCGACGACCGGCGCACGGGUGAGUAACGCGUAUCCAACCUGCCCCCAACUAGGGAAUAACCUUGCGAAAGUAAGACUAAUACCCUAUAAUUUCCUCAGAUGUCAUCUGACGAGGACUAAAGAUUUAUCGGUUGUGGAUGGGGAUGCGUCUGAUUAGCUUGUUGGCGGGGUAACGGCCCACCAAGGCAACGAUCAGUAGAGGUUCUGAGAGGAAGGUCCCCCACAUUGGAACUGAGACACGGUCCAAACUCCUACGAGAGGCAGCAGUGAGGAAUAUUGGUCAAUGGGCGGAAGCCUGAACCAGCCAAGUAGCGUGCAGGAUGACGGCCCUAUGGGUUGUAAACUGCUUUUAUACAGGAAUAAAGUUAGCCACGUGUGGUUAUUUGUAGGUACUGUAUGAAUAAGGACCGGCUAAGUCCGUGCCAGCCGCCGCGGUAA